RNAcentral lists this transfer RNA (73 nucleotides) under Puccinia coronata f. sp. avenae. It matches the Rfam family "tRNA". From Rfam's summary of the family: Transfer RNA (tRNA) molecules are approximately 80 nucleotides in length. Their secondary structure includes four short double-helical elements and three loops (D, anti-codon, and T loops). Lineage: Eukaryota; Fungi; Basidiomycota; Pucciniomycetes; Pucciniales; Pucciniaceae. The record is from Rfam by way of RNAcentral.
GAGCACUUAGCUUAGUGGUUGAAAGCAUCACUCAUGCAGUUUGAGGUCAUGGGUUCAACUCCCAUAGUGCACA